UACAAGUUAACAAAGAAAGUAUGAACACUUUAUAUAAUUCAAUUUAAGGAGUGCUGGGUGAGAGGGAGAGAGAGAGAGCUGCAAUUUAAUUGUUUAGACAGAUGGCAAUGGCAACAACAGAAGCAGGGAUAAGAAAGUCUGAGUAGCUUCCUUAAAUGGGAGCCAGAACAGAGAGAAAAUUAGAACCGUUAAAUAUUUCAUGCUCAAGCAUAAUCUAUCAUUAUUGAAACCUUCACAGUAAAGGAAAGUACUAGGUUUCACUAAGAUUUUAUUUGCAUUAUCAAACAUCAUAUGAGAAACCGGGGGAAAAAAA
RNAcentral lists this unclassified non-coding RNA (313 nucleotides) under Hevea brasiliensis (rubber tree). The record is from RNAcentral. Lineage: Eukaryota; Viridiplantae; Streptophyta; Magnoliopsida; Malpighiales; Euphorbiaceae.